RNAcentral lists this transfer RNA (91 nucleotides) under Thiomicrorhabdus sediminis. Its description in RNAcentral is "Thiomicrorhabdus sp. G1 tRNA-Ser". It matches the Rfam family "tRNA". Rfam says of the family: Transfer RNA (tRNA) molecules are approximately 80 nucleotides in length. Their secondary structure includes four short double-helical elements and three loops (D, anti-codon, and T loops). Lineage: Bacteria; Pseudomonadati; Pseudomonadota; Gammaproteobacteria; Thiotrichales; Piscirickettsiaceae. The record is from RNAcentral. RNAcentral also lists the same sequence under 3 other names.
GGAGAGCUGUCUGAGUGGUUGAAGGAGCUCGCCUGGAAAGUGAGUAUAGGUUAAUCGCCUAUCGGGGGUUCGAAUCCCCCGCUCUCCGCCA